RNAcentral lists this ribosomal RNA (324 nucleotides) under Oleiphilus sp. HI0072. RNAcentral's name for it is "bacterial SSU rRNA". It matches the Rfam family "Bacterial small subunit ribosomal RNA", at positions 1216 to 1533 of the family's 1533-position model. The record is from RNAcentral. Lineage: Bacteria; Pseudomonadati; Pseudomonadota; Gammaproteobacteria; Oceanospirillales; Oleiphilaceae.
ACACACGUGCUACAAUGGUAAAUACAAAGGGACGCCAAGCCGCGAGGUGGAGCUAAUCCCAGAAAAUUUAUCGUAGUCCGGAUUGGAGUCUGCAACUCGACUCCAUGAAGUCGGAAUCGCUAGUAAUCGUGGAUCAGAAUGCCACGGUGAAUACGUUCCCGGGCCUUGUACACACCGCCCNUCACACCAUGGGAGUGGAUUGCACCAGAAGUAGUUAGUCUAACCUUCGGGGGGACGAUUACCACGGUGUGGUUCAUGACUGGGGUGAAGUCGUAACAAGGUAGCCCUAGGGGAACCUGGGGCUGGAUCACCUCCUUAAACGAA